CAACACGACUCCAUGAAGGCGGAAUCGCUAGUGAUCGUGGAUCAGAAUGCCACGGUGAAUACGUACCCAGGCCUUGAACACACCGCGCGACACAACAUGGGAGUGGGUUGCAAAAGAAAUAGGUAGCUUAACCUUCGGGAGGGCGCUUACCACUUUGUGAUUCAUGACUGGGGUGAAGUCGUAACAAGGUAACCGUAGGAGAACCUGCGGUUGGAUCACCACCUAA
This 226-nucleotide ribosomal RNA is filed under the name Escherichia coli. RNAcentral describes it as "partial 16S ribosomal RNA". It matches the Rfam family "Bacterial small subunit ribosomal RNA", at positions 1308 to 1533 of the family's 1533-position model. The record is from RNAcentral. Lineage: Bacteria; Pseudomonadati; Pseudomonadota; Gammaproteobacteria; Enterobacterales; Enterobacteriaceae.